CGAGGACAGAAGAUCAAGACCAUCCUGGCUAACACGGUGAAACUCCAUCUCCACUAAAAAUACAAAAAAAUUAACCAGGCGUGGUGGUGGGCACCUGUAGUCCCAGCUACUCAGGAGGCUGAGGCAGGAGAGUGGCGUGAACCCGGGAGGCAGAGCUUGCAGUGAGCCGAGAUCGCACCACUGCACUCCAGCCUGGGUGACAGAGUGAGACUCCGUCUCAAAAAAAGAAAAAAAAAGAUAUCCCAUUUAGCUGGCAUAUUAUAUGAAAAAAAUCAAUGAUAAAGUAUAGGAAAAUUAGGACCUAGAUAAAAGUAAAAAGACUUCCAAGAGAGGACCAAUGAUUUCCAGAUUCUGUGGCAUUCAAUCAAUGAGAUUCCUGUUAUUUCUGUGUUUUAGAAGACAGACAAUCUGUAGAAUGUUCCAUUUUUUACACAACACCCAAGCAGCUGAUUCACAAGAAAAGUGCUGGAGAGAGCAUUCUGACCAGAUGGCCGAUACGUGUUGCUUGCCUGUUUGUGCAAAACAGUUCAGUGUAUUAGAAACAGCAGGAGCUUCGGGGUCAGAAAGACUGGGGUGUGCACUAUGGCUUUGUCACUUUUGAGACGAGUGACUCUGCACAAUCUGAUAGUCAAAACCAAAGCCCACCAAUGUCUGGCUUUUCCUUUGAGUCCUUUUAAUGGUAUUGGCUGCCUCUUUUGAUGAGUCGAAUUUCAGUGUAUAAAUGUUGCCUCUUCUGCUGCAAUCCUGCCUCUGCAAGACACCUAAUUAACAGCCACAUUUUCAAAGGCACCUAACAAAAGCCUCCCUGUGUGUCUCAGCACAAGGACUCUCAUUAGUGAAGCUGGGUCGGGUGAUUUUUUAUACCACUUCUAUAAUUAAAAAUUCUGAAAGCUAAUUACAAUUAUCCAUCAGUAUUUCAACAUGCCGGGGCUGAAGAUCUUAACCUUCCUUGAAGCAUUGUGCUUCUCUCUCUUCUCAUUCUAAUCUCCUUUUGGGCCUUUUUGCUUUCCUUUUGAAAACUCUCCAGUCCUCAAAGCCUGACUGUUUGUUUUCUAUAUGGUUCUUCAAGCUCCCAGCUGUCAGAAGAGCUAUUUGUUUGUCAUCUUUAAAAUGGGAAGGGAAGUGCCAACGAUUGCUUCAUCCUGAUACCUCAGCUAUCCACAUAAAUAUUUGCAAGAUGGGAGGCUCAGGUUGCAGCCAAUGAGCCUGUUCCUGGGUUCAGCUCAACCUGUUCCUCUUGUCCUUCAACUAAAGGGCUCUCCACUGCCACCUGUCAGGGCCUCUAGGUGUCUCUUGUAAACACUGCGUGUAAUUAGUAGCCAUUAGUUCCAGCAGUGGUUCAAACAGGGAGGAAAACCAAAAUAUCAGAAGUUCCAUUUAAUUAAAGUAACUGCAUUGAGAGGACUCAUCUGACAUUGUCUUGCAAGUAAUUAUUGAACCCUAGGUGCAGCAACAUAGAGAAACAUCAAUAUGGAAGAACCUUGUUGGUUACAUCAUCAUCACCAUUAUGACACACCACUAUCAUCAUAAUCACCUCAACACAUUGAUAUUGAAGUCCCUCUCACUGGGUAUACAACCUCCACUGUGGGCAUGGGAGUUCAUGCUGACACCAACACCCUCCAGGCAGGCUGAAGCACCGGCCAUAUGCUGUUUUACACAUGGAAGUGCUUCUGGAAAUAGUCCUUUCGAUUACAUCUCAAACACCCCAAGGAAGCUGAUUUUUCCAGGCUUGCAGUGGCUUCUGGUUUAAAACGACAUCUGGCAAAAAGCUUCUCACCAAGAGUUUGGACGGCACUAAGCAGGAAGAAAAUUCAUGCUACCACCAAGAACUGGAUUUGAUUAUCAACAUUUUCUAGAAUCUGGGGGCAAGUUUCUCUACUUCCAAAGCUAAUGAUAAUGGGUUGGAAAAAAUAGUAAAUAUAGUAAAUCAACUUUGCAGGGUCACUAAAAAUUAAUAAACAAGUCUUAUUAUUUGAAAGUGACUGGCAACUUUUACAUAAAUGCCUUCUGCUUUAUCAGCUAGAAAAUUGGACAGCCAUCCCCUUACUGUGGGGGAGCUUCUUUUGUCAGGCAUAGAGGUAUUUCUACCCUCUCUAGCAAGAACUGAGAGGACAGAAAUUAGGUAAGACUGUAGGCAGGGGUCGCUUUGGGAAUGGAUCCUAUAUCCUGGCAGGUGUUGACUGCAGGUAACAGGGACAAGAGAAAAUUUCAUCUCAGCAUAGAAGAGCUACUUUACAAGAAUGACACUGAGAAUUUGACUAUAAUCUAUGUUCAUUUUCUCCCCUUCCAUCUGUACUUCUUAGGAUGAAUUCCAAAUUACACUUAGGUUGAGAAAUAAUGGGAUCGAAAGCAAUGCAACAUGUUUGCGUGUGAAUAUGAAGCCCAGUAAAAAUUCUUCUCACUUGAGAAUUAGUACACAAAUAUGAAAAAUAGAUUUUGAUUAUAGUUCACAAAUGUUCUGUCUUUUCUUGCCAUAGGAUUUUACCUCUCCAUUAUGUUUUACUAAGGCAUGGUCAUUUGACCUCCUCUGGCUAAUGGGAGGUGGGCAGAGUGAUAUGCACCGCUUUUGAUUGAAAGCCUUAGGAGUGAGCAUGUGACCGCUAUGUCAUCUAUAUCAUAGAGCCACCAUGAUGGCCAGAGAGAACCUGCCCUGUUAACUUGGGUUCCAAGGUGACAAUGACAUGGAACAGUGCCUCAGGUGAUUAGGAAUAGAUGAGUAACAUGGGAAGAGAUAUCCACACUGUAUACAUUAAUCCCCAUUAAUCAUCAACAUCAUCUGCUCCUGACAUCCAACCAUCAAUAUCCUCAUGGCCCAAGGACCCAGAAUCACCCAGGGCAGAUGAUCCUUCUUCUGACUGAGCAUCAGAAAGUCAACUGUAGCCUAACACAACAUCACAAUGCCUACAUCAUUCACCUCAUUUUAUCUCAUCACAGAGGUAUCUCACAUCAGCACAAGAAGAAAGCAAGAAGACAGUGUCUACAAGCCAGAAAGAGAGCUCUUACCAGAACCUGACCAUGCUGGCACACUGAUCUUGGACUUCCAACCUUGAGAAUUGCAGAAAGUCCUGGAAAUUGGCUACGUAGGAAGCAGCCCUCAGUUCCAGACUCCAUGUGAAUGAAGCCAGACAGUAAGAGCCCUCAAGUCUUCUCCAUCUGUUCCCCAGAGGCUGCUGAAAGGACCCAGGGAAGAGCUCAUGACUGUGGUUUCAUCCGUGUGGGGCCCACAGGCAUGUUCACAGAGGAUGCGGGUGCCUGGGGCCCAGAUCAAGGCAAGAAAACCUGGCUGAAGUGGGAUCUACCAGUAAUUCACUGAGAGACUGAACAUAAAAUUAAUGAUUUGCUCCCUGGGUGAGUUCCUGCCUGUACAGCCGAGAGCACCACAGCCCCUUCUUCUUGGGGCUUCCGAUUCAAGGACAUGACAAAAGGAUCCGGAUUGGCUGAAUGUGAUUCAGAUGGAAAGGUACACAACAACAUCUACAUCUACAUGCAGUUGUUAAAAUGUGGCUUGAAUGAGAC
Molecule: long non-coding RNA, 3516 nt
Filed under: Homo sapiens (human)
Lineage: Eukaryota; Metazoa; Chordata; Mammalia; Primates; Hominidae
Description: HSALNT0289983
Source: RNAcentral